CUAGCCCUAAACACAGAUAAUUAUAUAAACAAAAUUAUUCGCCAGAGUACUACUAGCAAUAGCUUAAAACUCAAAGGACUUGGCGGUGCUUCAUAUCCCUCUAGAGGAGCCUGUUCUAUAAUCGAUAAACCCCGAUAAACCUCACCAAUUCUUGCUAAUACAGUCUAUAUACCGCCAUCUUCAGCAAACCCUAAAAAGGAAUAAAAGUAAGCGUAAUCAUAGCACAUAAAAAAGUUAGGUCAAGGUGUAACCUAUGAAAUGGAAAGAAAUGGGGUACAUUUUCUUAAACCAAGAAAACCAAUACACGAAAGCUAUUAUGAAAUUAAUAGCCAAAGGAGGAUUUAGCAGUAAACUAAGAAUAGAGUGCUUAGUUGAACCAGGCCAUGAAGCACGC
This 394-nucleotide ribosomal RNA is filed under the name Tragelaphus spekii (Sitatunga). Its description in RNAcentral is "partial 12S ribosomal RNA". It matches the Rfam family "Bacterial small subunit ribosomal RNA", at positions 796 to 1384 of the family's 1533-position model. The record is from RNAcentral. Lineage: Eukaryota; Metazoa; Chordata; Mammalia; Artiodactyla; Bovidae.